GGCACAAUAAAGAAAUGGAUGACAGCGAGGAAGUUGGGAGUAAGUUGCGUGAAGAUUCUCGUUUUUGAUGAGGCUGAUCAUAUGCUUAGCGAGGAUGGCUUUCAGGAUGAUUCAUUGAGAAUCAUGAGGGACAUUGAGAGAAGUAGCCCUCAUUGCCAGGUUCUUCUGUUCUCUGCAACAUUUGAUGAGAAUGUUAAAAAGUUUGUCUCUAGGGUUGUUAAAGAC
RNAcentral lists this unclassified non-coding RNA (225 nucleotides) under Hevea brasiliensis (rubber tree). Lineage: Eukaryota; Viridiplantae; Streptophyta; Magnoliopsida; Malpighiales; Euphorbiaceae. The record is from RNAcentral.